ACUGUGAAACUAAGGGUGAAGAGGGGACUCCCAUGCCAACUGGCUGCAGAGCUGGAAUUAAAACGGAAAACACAAUAAGUAGAAUGAAAAGUAAACUAUCAGGAAUGUAAACAGAGAUUUCAGCCAUGUGAUGAAGUUUUGCAUGCGGUGUUCUCUGAGCAAGUUGUCAUGUGAUACGGAGAGUAAAGUCGAGAUUGUACCGAAGGCUUCUUAAUUUCUGUUGGACCAGCAAGAUGAACGUGUCUGGAUCUUCCUGCUUGCUUUGCUGAAGAAACAAGGCUGAUGUGACGAGGCCGCCUGUCUGCCUGUUGUCCCUUCUCCCAAAACUUUCUGGGCUCUUUCAGCCCAGUCUGGUGAAUGAUCCUACACAUGCCAUGGAGAUGUUCCUGGGGAUAAUGGGAAAUGUGAAACCUGAAGCAGCACAUGCUCUCACCUGCCGGAGGAUAUCCCAAAGGAUACGGGGUGGCCGGGGUGUUGCCAUGCAAUGGUAAUGGGACAUUUCUGUGGAAAACCAACUCUGCAAACCCCAGCUCUGCAGCUCAGUGAGCAUCAUCUGCAUUCAUAAUCCUAGGUAGCUCUCCCGGUGACGGAUUCAGCUGUCGGCAUUUUGCCAGUUAGCUGCCUCCUGAUGUGAGCUGCUUCAGAUGUGGUUUUGAUGUGGCUACUGGAGCUGUGCGUGUCUGUAUGUAUACCGCACACCUACCCAUGCAUGAAAGGACAGCAAGGUCUUUGAGGACCAGCCCAGGAGCACAGAGUGAUCAGUCCCAACUUCGGAUUUCACGGUUUGAUCCGUUGUCCACCUUCCCACACUGCCGAGGCAGCGCUGGAGCACGCAGGCAAACGCUGCAGCCUGGCCAGGAAUAGAAACGCGUGCUUAGGUUUGUCUGCUGGGGCUGCCUAGCCUGUAUCAGGAAUGAGAAAUUCUGCUUUGCAGGCAUGAACCUGCUCCGUGUUAUGGUCUCACAGCUCUGAACGCUUCCAAGGCUGCCUUACCUGUAAGCUGAAUGAUCAGGACAAAGAUACAUUUCCUUUCCUGCAGGGCAUUUCCUUCUCUCCCAGGUCUGUCCGCACCACAUCACACACACCAUUUUGCAGGUACAAAAGGAUGUAAUCCCACCCAGGUGCUCCCAAGACACCCCUUCAGUGACUGGCAGCUGCUGAAAGACCCCCUCUCUUCAUUUUCAAGGUUUUCUCCACUUCUAUCAGGAUCCUGCUCUGCAAAUAUCAUGCACAGCAUUUUGUUGCCUAAAUUUCAAUUGCAGCCACACGAUCUGUUCGUCCAUGAGCAAAAGGCUUCCCCCGUGUCAGAAUAUGAAUUGCAGCCAUGAAUUCACCCUUGGCUAAAUCGCGUGUUUAUUCCAGCUGUGAACUCUGCUCCUGCAGGGAGGGAAUCAUUACCGACAUCAAUUCCCUGCGAGGGGAGGGCCUCAGGAGGGAGCAGCACAAACACGGCAGAAAAAAGCAAGCCUGACAUGCUUGUUAUGAAUAAAAUACCCAGCCCAGCUUUAAUCACGGCUCAGAACAGCACAGGAGGCCUGGUUUAUGAGGCAUAGUACACGCACUUUUUUCCUCCCCAAGAGGAGUUUUAUUUUAGGUAAUAAAAAUGAGGAGAAAGCACUGGAAAGUCAGGGGAAAGUGGAAGGACCCUUUGCACAAGAGUCCCUUCGUGUCUGUGUGGCGUGGAGUAGAGAAGCUGUUUUUUUGCUGUUUCCCUGUGUCCCAGUCUGCCCACUGGCCUCCCGUGGUGGCACCCCAGGGACACGUCCCUCUGCCCCUUAUCCUGCUCCAGCUGCUGCACUCAGACCCCCACACACAUCCAUGGACCAUGAACAGGGCCCAUCAACUGGGAGGAUAAUUAAAAAUGGCUUUUAAUGAAGAAACAGGACAGUUUGUGCUGAUCAGGGCAGGGAAUGGCCGGACAAACAUAGUGACCAGCCCUGGUUUGUGUGCACAUAGACCCUUUUAUCCCCUUAUCCCUCUAUUUUCCCAUGCUUGUUCCUCCCUAGGUGGCCUUGAUCCCGCUAUCCCCACCUUUGAUUCUUCCCAUAAACAUCCUACAAAAAGUGUCAUGCAGUCCCCAAAUGCCCUUCCCCUGCACCCCACAGUGUGCCCCAUGCCCUCCUCAGGCUUGGGGUGACACAGAGAGCUUCUCCCAUGGGCUGCUGGUGACGGGUGUCCUUCCCCUAGCACACGGGGAUGAGGCUACCUGGGGGGGCUGUUUUAAGGUUGGUGUCUCCCAGGGGUCUCUGGGUCUCCCCCAACUGCUGUGGUGCCUCUGGGCUCCCUCUGUGGGUGGAGAUGGCCCUCUGAUGGCUCCGAUGGCCACCACUGGUGGCUCUGGUGAUGGGCUCGGGGGGAGUGGGGCAGGGGGCGAUUGGCCAGAAAUCACUUUGGGUUACUGGGGUCUAGCAAGGAGCAUAUGUCACUUACAACACUUCCCAAUGUCUCUUCCCCAAAACAACCAUAUCUGGGUGAUGGUGAAGGUGUGGGACACCUUCAAACAGCUCAUUCACCCCUGCCAUUCCUCAACAAUUGAGAGGGAUACAUCCCUUUCUGGUUUUGCUUCCACAUUAGCAUUGGUUUUAUGGUAAUCUCUUAUCCUUUGUUGAAUAUAAAACAAUAAAAGGCUUUGGAAA
Long non-coding RNA from Cygnus olor (mute swan), 2636 nucleotides. RefSeq lists it as uncharacterized. The record is from RefSeq and is a predicted model, not a curated record. NCBI's taxonomy places the organism in Eukaryota, Metazoa, Chordata, Aves, Anseriformes, Anatidae. The transcript has 2 exons.